AGUAGCCGCGGUAAAACGGAGGGUGCAAGCGUUAUCCGGAUUUAUUGGGUUUAAAGGGUCCGUAGGCGGAUCUGUAAGUCAGUGGUGAAAUCUCACAGCUUAACUGUGAAACUGCCAUUGAUACUGCAGGUCUUGAGUAAAUUUGAAGUGGCUGGAAUAAGUAGUGUAGCGGUGAAAUGCAUAGAUAUUACUUAGAACACCAAUUGCGAAGGCAGGUCACUAAGAUUUAACUGACGCUGAUGGACGAAAGCGUGGGGAGCGAACAGGAUUAGAUACCCCCGUAGUCCCUGUCUCUUAUACA
This 301-nucleotide ribosomal RNA is filed under the name uncultured bacterium. Its description in RNAcentral is "partial 16S ribosomal RNA". It matches the Rfam family "Bacterial small subunit ribosomal RNA", at positions 510 to 808 of the family's 1533-position model. The record is from RNAcentral.